Saccostrea echinata is the source of this 240-nucleotide long non-coding RNA. RefSeq lists it as uncharacterized. The transcript is spliced from 3 exons. Lineage: Eukaryota; Metazoa; Mollusca; Bivalvia; Ostreida; Ostreidae. The record is from RefSeq and is a predicted model, not a curated record.
UGCCUAGUGGUAGAAAACACACUUCAAAAAGUUAUGGGGGAAUUGAUUACUCUUUAUAUUUAAGAGGAUGAGAUGACAAUUCCAAUUAUCCAUAACUAAAGCCCCUGCAUUAGAAAAAAAGAUCAACACUCCUUUGUGAUGCUUGCAAAUGCAAUGUAUUGGUAUUUACAAUUCAACAUGUAUGCUAGCCUAAAGGAAAGUUAUUGAAUGACCAUGAUGACUAAUCAUCUGAAGAAAAUG